UAGUCUAGAACAGACCUGGGAGAAUGGUA
Molecule: non-coding RNA, 29 nt
Filed under: Rattus norvegicus (Norway rat)
Lineage: Eukaryota; Metazoa; Chordata; Mammalia; Rodentia; Muridae
Source: RNAcentral